This is a long non-coding RNA of Amblyraja radiata (thorny skate), 125 nucleotides long. RefSeq lists it as uncharacterized. The record is from RefSeq and is a predicted model, not a curated record. Lineage: Eukaryota; Metazoa; Chordata; Chondrichthyes; Rajiformes; Rajidae. The transcript is spliced from 3 exons.
UUCUUCGGACUCUGUCAGAGAGGAGGUUGUAAAACUGUCUUUGGAGGGAGGAGGGGAACUUCUUCAAAGUAGGCAUAACUUGAGGAGAUAUCGCAGUGGAGUAGAUAAAAUGUUCAAGAAGGAAC